UCUUAUGACGGCUGUGCGCGGGAGACCUUCGGGUCUGCCGGUUUUCUCUACUGCCGGUUCGCCAACCUGCGUACAGCUGUCACCCAU
Molecule: non-coding RNA, 87 nt
Organism: Spinacia oleracea (spinach)
Lineage: Eukaryota; Viridiplantae; Streptophyta; Magnoliopsida; Caryophyllales; Amaranthaceae
Source: Rfam